This 753-nucleotide long non-coding RNA is filed under the name Rhinopithecus bieti (black snub-nosed monkey). RNAcentral describes it as "lncRNA (ENSRBIG00000045143.1)". The record is from RNAcentral. Lineage: Eukaryota; Metazoa; Chordata; Mammalia; Primates; Cercopithecidae.
UGUGUAGAGAAUGAGCUCUCUGGCAUCAUGAUGGCACCUACAACAGUAGGUUGGUGGUGAACAAGCAGUGAACCAGUGAACAGGGCAGCAUUCUUUGACAACACUGACUUUAACAACAUGAUGGGCCAUUUUUUCCCGCACCACAAAUUGAAGAAGUUUUCAAAAUUGGGCAAGGCUGAUCUGAUUUACUCACCCAAUUGCAUACAAGAAGCUGUAAUUGAGAGUGCAGACUUAGCUGGGCCUCCCGGGAAAAGCCCUUAUUUUUCUCUUUCCUCAUGGAGUCUUAAAGAACAAGAAAGAACAUUCUUGACGGUGUCUGUGACUUGAUCUCUCCAAGAGGAAGAUGCACAGGAGGUCUAAACGCUUACCAUCUAAAGAGUGGUGCUUGGACCCACAGCAUCCUCAUCCCCUGAAAGCUCCUUAGAAAUGUGGAGUCUCCAUCCCCACCCUAGGUCUACUGAAUUAGUCUUCAUUUUAAUAAGAUCCUUGGGUGAUUCACAUGCACUAUCUAUCGUGUGUAAAUUCUAUCAGGUGUAAAUAACUGUUUAGUUACAUACAGGAAAUUGCUCUCCUGUAACAUGACAGAUGCAGAUGUAUCUUUGAAAUACCUAAAAAUGUGCCCUUCUGAGGAAAACAUUAGCUCUGUUCUGCAGAAAAUUGUGACUAGAGAUAUGAAGUGAUUUGUUCAAAAUUACAUUGUUAAUAAUUCCAAGACCACAGAUAGAAAAUAAACAUCCUGCCGCAAUAUAGGCU